Long non-coding RNA from Nerophis lumbriciformis (worm pipefish), 573 nucleotides. RefSeq lists it as uncharacterized. The record is from RefSeq and is a predicted model, not a curated record. Lineage: Eukaryota; Metazoa; Chordata; Actinopteri; Syngnathiformes; Syngnathidae.
GUUUCUUAUCAUCUUGUGCGCACCUCCAGCGAUCCUUUGCCACAGUCCUGUUUACAGCCGUUGCCACGUUUUUGUACUUUUUGACCCACGGGAGAUAUUUGUUUGGAGACCUUUUGUCAGUGAUGACGAUAGCCACCUUCCUGACCCCGGACCGGGCGCUGUAAAAAGCCUCUUGGGUGGCCUUUCUGAUGGCGGUUCCAGUCGGACCAAGUUGAACUCCAGAUGGACGUCCAGGCUGUAGAGGACAAGGCCGAUUCUUGUUGCGUUGCGUCCCACCGUGGUCCCGUCCACCAAUCGAGUGACAAAGUCUUUGAUGAUUUCAAAGUUCUCAGGGCCAACGCUCUCUGAGCUGUCGAUCACAAAGACCAGUUCCAUUGGUCUUUCUUUGCACUUGACGCCGCAUCCUGAUGACGACAAAACUCAUUAAUCAUUUAAAUAAUCUUUUGUAUGUUGGAUGACUGGAAUUUGAGUGACACUUACCACAUAUUUCUUUGAUGAGCUUAAUAACGUCUUCUCUCUGAAAAACGCACAUCAUUAGAAGUCUGAACAGUGUGGUAAAAAAUGUACAACUUA